GAUGAACGCUAGCGGGAGGCUUAACACAUGCAAGCCGAGGGGUAUAAAGAGCUUGCUCUUUAGAGACCGGCGCACGGGUGCGUAACGCGUAUGCAAUCUGCCUUUAUCACAGGGAUAGCCUUUCGAAAGGGAGCUUACUACCUGAUAACACAUUUUACAGCAUUGUAAGAUGUUAAAAGAUUUAUCGGAUAGAGAUGAGCAUGCGUAUGAUUAGGUAGUUGGUGAGUUAACGGCUCACCAAGCCGACGAUCAUUAGGGGGCCUGAGAGGGUGAACCCCCACACUGGUACGGAGACACGGACCAGACUCCUACGGGAGGCAGCAGUGAGGAAUAUUGGACAAUGGGUGAGAGCAUGAUCCAGCCAUCCCGCGUGAAGGAAGAAGGAUCUAUGGUCUGUAAACUUCUUUUAUAUAGGAAUAAACCUACAUACGGGUAUGUAGCUGAAGGUACUAUAUGAAUAAGCACCGGCUAACUCCGUGCCAGCCGCCGCGGUAAGAC
RNAcentral lists this ribosomal RNA (498 nucleotides) under uncultured bacterium. Its description in RNAcentral is "bacterial SSU rRNA". It matches the Rfam family "Bacterial small subunit ribosomal RNA", at positions 28 to 526 of the family's 1533-position model. The record is from RNAcentral.